Molecule: ribosomal RNA, 428 nt
Filed under: uncultured delta proteobacterium
Lineage: Bacteria; Deltaproteobacteria
Description: bacterial SSU rRNA
Rfam family: Bacterial small subunit ribosomal RNA
Source: RNAcentral
AACGCGAAGAACCUUACCUGGGUUUGACAUCUCCGGACAAACGUAGAGAUACGUCUUUCGUAGCAAUACGACCGGAUGACAGGUGCUGCAUGGCUGUCGUCAGCUCGUGUGGUGACAUGUUGGGUUAAGUCCCGCAACGAGCGCAACCCUUGUCUUUAGUUGCCAGCAUUCAGUUGGGCUCUCUAAAGAGACUGCCGUGGUUAACACGGAGGAAGGUGGGGAUGACGUCAAGUCCUCAUGGCCUUUAUAUCCAGGGCGACACACGUGAUACAAUGGACGAUACAGAGGGAAGCGAAUGCGCGAGCAGGAGCCAAUCUCAAAAAGUCGUUCUCAGUUCGGAUUGGAGUCUGCAACUCGACUCCAUGAAGUUGGAAUCGCUAGUAAUCGCGGAUCAGCACGCCGCGGUGAAUACGUUCCCGGGCCUUGUA